This is an RNA transcript of Carlito syrichta (Philippine tarsier), 763 nucleotides long. It is a transcript of the gene named kelch-like protein 1 pseudogene, with no coding region annotated. The transcript has a single exon. The record is from RefSeq and is a predicted model, not a curated record. Lineage: Eukaryota; Metazoa; Chordata; Mammalia; Primates; Tarsiidae.
GGUGCAGAAGGCGCAGCCCGCCCCCUCCUCCGCCCCGGGUCUCCGCCAGCCUCCCCACCUGCCGGCCGGUCUCUACCCCUGCGGGAGCUGCGAUCCCUUUGCCUUCUUUGCGUAAAGCAUGUCAGGCUCUGGGCGAAAAGACUUCGAUGUGAAGCACAUCCUGCGCCUCCGCUGGAAACUCUUCAGCCACCCGUCGCCGUCCGCCGGGGGCCCCGCGGGGGGCGGCUGCCUGCAGCAGGACGGCAGCGGCAGCUUCGAGCACUGGGGCCCCAGCCAGAGCCGCCUGCUCAAGAGCCAAGAGAGAGGCGGUGUGAGCACUUUCUGGAAGAAGCCUUCCUCUUCCUCCUCUUCGUCGUCUUCCCCGUCCUCUUCUUCUUCUUCCUUCAAUCCGCUGAAUGGCACCCUGCUCCCAGUUGCCACGAGGCUGCAGCCGGGGGCUCCCGGGCAGGGCACCCCGCAGCCAGCGAGGACCCUCUUCUACGUGGAGUCCCUAGAGGAGGAGGUGGUGCCAGGCAUGGACUUUCCUGGACCACACGAGAAAGGACUGGUCCUGCAAGAGCUCAAAGUGGAGCCGGCCAACUCGAGCCAGGCAACAGGUGAAGGAUGUGGACACAGGUACAGUAAGUCUCCAGGGGGCUUCAAGCAUCUCCCAGUUUCCAUUCGUCUCUCCCCUUGUGCUCUUGUAGUUAUUAAGUCUAAAACGUUUCGGGUUGAAAAUGUCGGUGAAGAGAUGCCAGCCUGGUUUGUAUUACCCAAGUUAUAA